GACGAACGCUGGCGGCAUGCCUAACACAUGCAAGUCGAACGAGACGUUCGUGUCUAUGGGCGGAGGUGUGCGUAACGCGGGGGAACCUGCCCUUGGGUUCGGAAUAACUCCCCGAAGGGUGUCCUAAUACCGGAUAAUGUCUUCGGACCAAAGAUUUUUCGCCUUUGGGUGGGCGCGUGUUGGCUUAGGUGGUUGGGAGGGGAAAAGCAUACCAAGGAGACGAUCGCUGGCUGGUGGGAGAGGAUGGUCAGCAACACUGGGAAUGAGACACGGACCAGAAUCGUACGGGAGGCAGCAGUGGGGAAUACAGGGCACGGGGGGAAAGCCUGAUCCAGCAGUGCCGCGUGAGUGAUGAAGCCCUUAGUGUUGCACAGCUCUUUUACACGAGAUGAUAAUGACAGUAACGGGAGAAUAAGCUCCGGCUAACUCCGUG
This 433-nucleotide ribosomal RNA is filed under the name uncultured bacterium. Its description in RNAcentral is "partial 16S ribosomal RNA". It matches the Rfam family "Bacterial small subunit ribosomal RNA", at positions 28 to 507 of the family's 1533-position model. The record is from RNAcentral.